GACGAACGCUGGCGGCGUGCCUAAUACAUGCAAGUCGAACGCUUCUUUUUCACCGAACUUCGGUUCAUCGAAAAAGAGGAGUGGCGAACGGGUGAGUAACACGUGGGUAACCUGCCCAUCAGAAGGGGAUAACACUUGGAAACAGGUGCUAAUACCAUAUAAUGCUUUUUCUCGCAUGAGAGCAAGCUGAAAGGCGCUUUUGCGUCACUGAUGGAUGGACCCGCGGUGCAUUAGCUAGUUGGUGAGGUAACGGCUCACCAAGGCCACGAUGCAUAGCCGACCUGAGAGGGUGAUCGGCCACACUGGGACUGAGACACGGCCCAGACUCCUACGGGAGGCAGCAGUAGGGAAUCUUCGGCAAUGGACGAAAGUCUGACCGAGCAACGCCGCGUGAGUGAAGAAGGUUUUCGGAUCGUAAAAACUCUGUU
This 428-nucleotide ribosomal RNA is filed under the name Enterococcus sp. oral taxon A43. Its description in RNAcentral is "bacterial SSU rRNA". It matches the Rfam family "Bacterial small subunit ribosomal RNA", at positions 28 to 437 of the family's 1533-position model. The record is from RNAcentral. Lineage: Bacteria; Bacillati; Bacillota; Bacilli; Lactobacillales; Enterococcaceae.